This 1363-nucleotide ribosomal RNA is filed under the name Arthrobacter sp. HLS5. Its description in RNAcentral is "16S ribosomal RNA". It matches the Rfam family "Bacterial small subunit ribosomal RNA", at positions 78 to 1441 of the family's 1533-position model. Lineage: Bacteria; Bacillati; Actinomycetota; Actinomycetes; Micrococcales; Micrococcaceae. The record is from RNAcentral.
GCUUGCGGGGGGAUUAGUGGCGAACGGGUGAGUAACACGUGAGUAACCUGCCCUUAACUCUGGGAUAAGCCUUGGAAACGAGGUCUAAUACUGGAUAUUGACUUUACCUCGCAUGGGGUUUUGUUGAAAGAUUUAUUGGUUUUGGAUGGACUCGCGGCCUAUCAGCUUGUUGGUGAGGUAAUGGCUCACCAAGGCGACGACGGGUAGCCGGCCUGAGAGGGUGACCGGCCACACUGGGACUGAGACACGGCCCAGACUCCUACGGGAGGCAGCAGUGGGGAAUAUUGCACAAUGGGCGAAAGCCUGAUGCAGCGACGCCGCGUGAGGGAUGACGGCCUUCGGGUUGUAAACCUCUUUCAGUAGGGAACAAGGCCAGCAUUUUUGUUGGUUGAGGGUACUUGCAGAAGAAGCGCCGGCUAACUACGUGCCAGCAGCCGCGGUAAUACGUAGGGCGCAAGCGUUAUCCGGAAUUAUUGGGCGUAAAGAGCUCGUAGGCGGUUUGUCGCGUCUGCCGUGAAAGUCCGGGGCUCAACCCCGGAUCUGCGGUGGGUACGGGCAGACUAGAGUGAUGUAGGGGAGACUGGAAUUCCUGGUGUAGCGGUGAAAUGCGCAGAUAUCAGGAGGAACACCGAUGGCGAAGGCAGGUCUCUGGGCAUUAACUGACGCUGAGGAGCGAAAGCAUGGGGAGCGAACAGGAUUAGAUACCCUGGUAGUCCAUGCCGUAAACGUUGGGCACUAGGUGUGGGGGACAUUCCACGUUUUCCGCGCCGUAGCUAACGCAUUAAGUGCCCCGCCUGGGGAGUACGGCCGCAAGGCUAAAACUCAAAGGAAUUGACGGGGGCCCGCACAAGCGGCGGAGCAUGCGGAUUAAUUCGAUGCAACGCGAAGAACCUUACCAAGGCUUGACAUGAACUGGAAAUACCUGGAAACAGGUGCCCCGCUUGCGGUCGGUUUACAGGUGGUGCAUGGUUGUCGUCAGCUCGUGUCGUGAGAUGUUGGGUUAAGUCCCGCAACGAGCGCAACCCUCGUUCUAUGUUGCCAGCACGUAAUGGUGGGGACUCAUAGGAGACUGCCGGGGUCAACUCGGAGGAAGGUGAGGACGACGUCAAAUCAUCAUGCCCCUUAUGUCUUGGGCUUCACGCAUGCUACAAUGGCCGGUACAAUGGGUUGCGAUACUGUGAGGUGGAGCUAAUCCCAAAAAGCCGGUCUCAGUUCGGAUUGGGGUCUGCAACUCGACCCCAUGAAGUCGGAGUCGCUAGUAAUCGCAGAUCAGCAACGCUGCGGUGAAUACGUUCCCGGGCCUUGUACACACCGCCCGUCAAGUCACGAAAGUUGGUAACACCCGAAGCCGGUGGCCUAACCC